CAAGAUAUAGCUUAAACUAAAGCACCUAGUUUACACCUAGAAGAUUUCAUACACCCACGGAUAUCUUGA
This 69-nucleotide transfer RNA is filed under the name Capreolus pygargus (Eastern roe deer). RNAcentral's name for it is "tRNA-Val". It matches the Rfam family "tRNA". From Rfam's summary of the family: Transfer RNA (tRNA) molecules are approximately 80 nucleotides in length. Their secondary structure includes four short double-helical elements and three loops (D, anti-codon, and T loops). Lineage: Eukaryota; Metazoa; Chordata; Mammalia; Artiodactyla; Cervidae. The record is from RNAcentral.